AAACAUCGCCUCUUGUUCACAUAAGAGGUCCAGCCUGCCCAGUGACCCAGUUCAACGGCCGCGGUAUCCUAACCGUGCAAAGGUAGCGUAAUCACUUGUUUUCUAAAUAAAGACCAGUAUGAAAGGCAUCACGAGGACUAAGCUGUCUCCUCUUUCUAAUCAGUGAAUCUAAUCUCCCCGUGAAGAAGCGGGGAAUCACCUAUAAGACGAGAAGACCCUAUGGAGCUUAAAACAUCGUGACACCUGCCACCCACUUUUAACUACCCAGGUAUUUCUUAAGCGGCACCUUGAUCAUAUGUUUUUGGUUGGGGUGACCGCGGAGAAAAACUUAUCCCCCGCGAUGAAUGGGGUUACCCCCUAAACUGUAAGUCACAACUUUAUGUACCAAUAAAUUGACAUCCAUUGACCCAAUAAAUUGAUUAACGAACCAAGUUACCCUAGGGAUAACAGCGCAAUCCACUUUGAGAGCCCCUAUCGACAAGUGGGCUUACGACCUCGAUGUUGGAUCGGGGUAUCCUAGUGGUGCAGCCGCUACUAAGGGUUCGUUUGUUCAACGAUUAAAACCCCACGUGAUCUGA
RNAcentral lists this ribosomal RNA (578 nucleotides) under Pristimantis astralos. Its description in RNAcentral is "Pristimantis sp. n. AC-2020 partial large subunit ribosomal RNA". It matches the Rfam family "Bacterial large subunit ribosomal RNA", at positions 1811 to 2608 of the family's 2925-position model. The record is from RNAcentral. Lineage: Eukaryota; Metazoa; Chordata; Amphibia; Anura; Strabomantidae.